RNAcentral lists this ribosomal RNA (439 nucleotides) under uncultured bacterium. RNAcentral's name for it is "partial 16S ribosomal RNA". It matches the Rfam family "Bacterial small subunit ribosomal RNA", at positions 339 to 795 of the family's 1533-position model. The record is from RNAcentral.
CUACGGGGGGCAGCAGUGAGGAAUAUUGCACAAUGGGGGGAACCCUGAUGCAGCAACGCCGCGUGGAGGAUGACGCAUUUCGGUGUGUAAACUCCUUUUAUAUGUCAAGAAAAUGACGGUAGCAUAUGAAUAAGCACCGGCUAACUCCGUGCCAGCAGCCGCGGUAAUACGGAGGGUGCAAGCGUUACUCGGAAUCACUGGGCGUAAAGGACGCGUAGGCGGGUUGGAAAGUCAGGUGUGAAAUCCUACAGCUUAACUGUAGCACUGCACUUGAAACUUCUAAUCUAGAGUAUGGGAGGGGGGGAUGGAAUUAGUGGUGUAGGGGUAAAAUCCGUAGAUAUCACUAGGAAUACCUAAAGCGAAGGCGAUCUCCUGGAACGUUACUGACGCUAAGGCGUGAAAGCGUGGGGAGCAAACAGGAUUAGAUACCCGAGUAGUC